GGUCCCAUGGUGUAAUGGUUAGCACUUUGGACUUUGAAUCCAGCUAUCCGAGUUCAAAUCUCGGUGGGACCU
This 72-nucleotide transfer RNA is filed under the name Nematostella vectensis (starlet sea anemone). RNAcentral describes it as "tRNA-Gln". It matches the Rfam family "tRNA". From Rfam's summary of the family: Transfer RNA (tRNA) molecules are approximately 80 nucleotides in length. Their secondary structure includes four short double-helical elements and three loops (D, anti-codon, and T loops). Further hydrogen bonds mediate the characteristic L-shaped molecular structure. tRNAs have two regions of fundamental functional importance: the anti-codon, which is responsible for specific mRNA codon recognition, and the 3' end, to which the tRNAs corresponding amino acid is attached (by aminoacyl-tRNA synthetases). tRNAs cope with the degeneracy of the genetic code in two manners: having more than one tRNA (with a specific anti-codon) for a particular amino acid; and 'wobble' base-pairing, i.e. permitting non-standard base-pairing at the 3rd anti-codon position. The record is from Rfam by way of RNAcentral. Lineage: Eukaryota; Metazoa; Cnidaria; Anthozoa; Actiniaria; Edwardsiidae.